This 380-nucleotide unclassified non-coding RNA is filed under the name uncultured bacterium. RNAcentral describes it as "contains 16S-23S intergenic spacer region". The record is from RNAcentral.
UCCGACUUUUCGCCGGCAGUCUCCCUAGAGUCCCCGGCAUCAUCCGCUGGCAACUAGGGACAGGGGUUGCGCUCGUUGCGGGACUUAACCCAACAUCUCGCGACACGAGCUGACGACAGCCAUGCAGCACCUGUGCUGGAACUCCGAAGAGGGGCCUCGGUUUCUCGAGGCUUUCUCCAGCAUGUCAAACCCAGGUAAGGUUCUUCGCGUUGCGUCGAAUUAAACCACAUGCUCCGCUGCUUGUGCGGGUCCCCGUCAAUUCCUUUGAGUUUUAGCCUUGCGGCCGUACUCCCCAGGCGGGGCACUUAAUGCGUUAGCGUCGGCACGGGAGGAGUCGACACCUCCCACACCUAGUGCCCAUCGUUUACGGCGUGGACUAC